Rosa chinensis is the source of this 649-nucleotide long non-coding RNA. RefSeq lists it as uncharacterized. The record is from RefSeq and is a predicted model, not a curated record. Lineage: Eukaryota; Viridiplantae; Streptophyta; Magnoliopsida; Rosales; Rosaceae. The transcript is spliced from 3 exons.
UUGAAAAAAACAUAUGUGACAGCGUUGUGGGCACAUUAUUAGGCAUUGCUGGGAAAACCAAAGACACAGUCAAGGCAAGAUUGGAUUUACAAGACAUGGGUAUAAGAGAUGAUCUGCAUAUUGAAAAAGAUGGGUCUGAUUUUAAGAAGCAUACUCCGUAUUAUACAAUAGUACCACAGCAACGUCGGCCUUUUUGGCAAUGGUUCAAAACUGUCAAAUUUCCUGAGGGGUUUGCUUCUAAUAUUUCUCGAUGUGUUAAAGAUGGAAAGAUCUCCGGUCUCAAGACUCAUGAUUGUCAUGUGUUGUUGCAAAGACUUCUUCCGGUGGUAAUUCGACCUUACUUAAGUAGAGAGGUUGCAGACUGAUAUUGUGGUGAUACUAUGUAAACUUGAGCAAAUCUUCCCACCUGCUUUUUUUGAUGUUAUGGUGCAUUUGGCUGUGCAUCUACCGCAUGAGGCAUUACUUGGUGGGCCAGUUCCUAUGAGAUGGAUGUUUCCAAUUGAGAGGAAGUUGGGAAAUCUGAAGGAUUAUGUACGUAAUAAAGCACAUCCUGAAGGCUCCAUCGCUGAAGGAUAUAUUGCAGAAGAAUCAUUAACCUUUUGUUCCAUGUAUCUCAAAGAUGUUGAGACAAGUUUCUCACGACCAGAGC